Molecule: long non-coding RNA, 1314 nt
Organism: Quercus robur (English oak)
Lineage: Eukaryota; Viridiplantae; Streptophyta; Magnoliopsida; Fagales; Fagaceae
Exons: 2
Source: RefSeq, a predicted model, not a curated record
GGCCAAGUGGCCUUUGUUUGCUUCAGCCAAAAACCAACGUGUCCCACCUCAAGUCAUGUCUCAUUUAAUGAAGGCUGACUUUUCUACAAGCUUGCAAGACAAGCUCAUUUAGAGGUUUGAUAAGGUGUGGGCUGGACCCAUGGUGCUAUGAUGCACCUAACAAUAAAUAUAUAGUUUGACUAUUGGCAGGAAAAGCAUUCCAUAGCUGACCUGGGCAGUACUCUUCCAAUUGUCUUUGUGUGCACUAUUAAGGUAGUAAUUGGAUACAUCCUCUUUUUAUAUUGAUUCCCCUAAUUAAUUCACACUUACAUGAGGAUCUAAAAUAGUGACAUACUAAUAUUGCAGGGGAUUAUAAGCUCAAAAUUUAUACAUUAUUUUUUUUUUGAUGGAAUUUAUACAUUAUAAGAGCUUGGCAUUGACAUCUGCAACAUUUUUCAGCUAUAGCUAAAUCUCAUUCUUGCCGUUACCUUCAUCUUGACUAUCUCAAUUUGGUAUGAUCAUGUUUCUCUCAAAAUUAAUUUUAUUAAAGAAAUCAUUUUCAUGGUGUAAAACUUUGUUACUACAUGUGUAUUAAUUCUAUAAAAGAAGUCAUUUUUAUGGUGUUACAACUUUGUUCCUAGAUGUGUAAAAUAUAAUCGAAAGUCUCAAAUAAAUUAAUUAACUAAAGCAUUGUAUAGUAACUAGUAUAUAAUUUUAUUUUAAUUUGUUUGAAAUCCACGUAUGCUCUGGGGUUGGGAUACUCAGUAGUUAUUAUAAGACCUUAUGAUGCUUGGCAUUGGCUUAUUUACCUUGACAUUUUUUUUUAAUAAUGGGUAUGUCUGAAUUGAAAAUCUUGUGGUCCAAAAAUUCCAAACUUCAUCAUUCAUUUUCACUUCUCAUUGCUUAGUCAUUUGAUCAUUUAUUAUUUUAAUUUUUCUUUUAAAAAAUAUUAUAUUUUUAACUCACUGUUGGGUUCUUGGAGCUACCAUAGAGUUCUCUAUCCUUUAUUUUGUCCCACUUUUUCAUUUGAUGCUUGGAUUUGUAUUCAAUUCAAAGCUAUUGCUGGUAUUCCUAUAAAGCGGGCUAGUUUACAAGAAGUAGCAACCUUGUGAAGAAAGUUGGGUUAUACUUGGUUAAAAUGUCGCAUGCCUUGGGCUAUUGGUGAUUUUGAGGGGAGAUACAUUUCAUUGCAAGCUUGGUUGUAUAUCUUCUUGAAGAAUUUGUUAUUAUUUGAUUUGUAUUUGAGAUGGUAGAUUUGAAUUUAAAUUAUGUAUAUGAUAUUGAACUUGGGUAUUGUUUUUCCUUAUUAGUAGUUAUUGAUUGAGCCAUUGUUAA